This 472-nucleotide ribosomal RNA is filed under the name uncultured bacterium. Its description in RNAcentral is "bacterial SSU rRNA". It matches the Rfam family "Bacterial small subunit ribosomal RNA", at positions 355 to 825 of the family's 1533-position model. The record is from RNAcentral.
UGGGGAAUAUUGGACAAUGGGCGAAAGCCUGAUCCAGCCAUGCCGCGUGUGUGAAGAAGGUCUUCGGAUUGUAAAGCACUUUAAGUUGGGAGGAAGGGUUGUAGAUUAAUACUCUGCAAUUUUGACGUUACCGACAGAAUAAGCACCGGCUAACUCUGUGCCAGCAGCCGCGGUAAUACAGAGGGUGCAAGCGUUAAUCGGAAUUACUGGGCGUAAAGCGCGCGUAGGUGGUUUGUUAAGUUGGAUGUGAAAUCCCCGGGCUCAACCUGGGAACUGCAUCCAAAACUGGCAAGCUAGAGUAUGGUAGAGGGUGGUGGAAUUUCCUGUGUAGCGGUGAAAUGCGUAGAUAUAGGAAGGAACACCAGUGGCGAAGGCGACCACCUGGACUGAUACUGACACUGAGGUGCGAAAGCGUGGGGAGCAAACAGGAUUAGAUACCCUAGUAGUCCCUGAGCGGGCUGGCAAGGCGCAU